GCAAGAACACGUCUCCAUGGACCAGACUGCCUCAGCAAAACAGGUAUACACUCUGAUGCCUGCUGACGGCUUCUUGGAUGAAUGGGACCUCGAUACUAAGGAUUUGUGGAAUCUCGAGGAGCCGACCCUGGGACCCUUCAUCAAGCCACAGCUUCCCUCAAAGGGAGAGGAGCUCCCGG
Long non-coding RNA from Thalassophryne amazonica, 179 nucleotides. RefSeq lists it as uncharacterized. The transcript has 3 exons. The record is from RefSeq and is a predicted model, not a curated record. NCBI's taxonomy places the organism in Eukaryota, Metazoa, Chordata, Actinopteri, Batrachoidiformes, Batrachoididae.